UCUGAGGUGAAAAUGAAGGUGGUCAGAGGCGAAUCGGCUGUGGGACCCUCGUGUCCUUUGGCCAGUCAGUGGCUUGCUGCCCUUCUGUGCUGUGGCCUGUUGUCACUUCUCGUCCUUUUUGGAUCAAGUGAUUUUCGCUUGAACUCCAUGCGGUGGGCUUUUCUCCUUGAUAUCAAUUUUUUUUAAAUAACUGAGUCGAGUAAACUAAAAAGCUCACAGCAAAACCCAUCCCUUACCUCUCAACUCAGCACGUGCACGCUGGCUUCAUAACAGGUUUUUCCGUGACAGUCUCUCAUUUCAUCCUCUUGAGUGGAUUGGUGGAAGCAGGACUUUCGUGCCGUGAGGUAUGGACGUGGGAGGUCAGCUGGGUUAGAACUGAGAAGAGAUAGGGUCUUCUCUGUGGUCUCGGUGACUCAGAUUCUCAUUUUCCUAAGUCCCUCCCACAGCAGAUUCUCAGGUCUGGAUCAUUAAUGAGAACCAGAGUUAAAGAUGUAUUUGAACAAGGGGGAGGUGGGAGAGAGAGUGAGCUCUUUUUAGAAGAACAGCUUUCACAAUUCUGUAAAUAAAAGCUGAUAGCCCAGUUUGGGUUCUUUCCAGAAACUUUAUUCCCAAGCUAUUUAUUUUAAGUUCCUAUUUUAAAUUUGUUUUUGGCAAAAGAAAAAUAAAGGCACCCAACCACUUUCUGUUCUCUAGUAGGAAAAUCUCAAACUUUAGGCGAUCUGGAGCAGCCGGUCGGUCAGUUAAUGUGUCUUCGGGGAGGGUCAACUGUUCUUACGGUGGGCACCAUGCUGGAUGUCACGAGAAGACCCGAGAGACUCAGGGCUGUGGUCUUUAUCAAGAAGCUUCAAACCGAUUUGCAGGAAGAGAGAUUCGUGUUCAGAACGCCACCCUAGGUCACCGCGAAGAGGUGCCCACUGAGCUAAGCUGGGAGAGCUUAAGCAUUGGAAAGUGCUGAUGGCAGUGCAUCGGAACACCGUAUACAUAAGGACACGGGGUCACGGUGAUGGUGACGACGCCAGCCAGCCACAACACUCCUGGUCACCAGCGCGGUUGCUGGAAUCAACACAUUCUAAAGAUUUAUAAGGGAAAGAACUUUAAAACACACACGCACACACGCACACACACACACACCCGACUCCCCCACCCCCCAUACCUACACCAGGUGGUCAGUUGAGAAGCCCAGAAGGAGCGAUGAUAGGAAGUUUGUUCGUGCUCCUUGGCGCUGGAACGUGAAGCGAGGCCUUGCUGUCUGUGCCAGGUCGGUCGGCCGUUGGUGAAGAGCAGGCAGGUUCCUCUCCCACGGGGGACCAGGGGCUGGGAGGCAGCUUUCGUAGGGAACAGACGGUGGGUUUGGCCCCUGGCCCACCUCUUACUGGCCGUGAGAUCUAGGGCAAAUCAUAGAACCCCUCCCACUCCACUUCAUUCAAAAGGUAAUAGGGAUGAUGAUCACACCUCAUGGUGAUAUAAGGUUAAGUUGAACAAAAGGCUUAAAGGCCACGGAAGAAGCAGUUACCAAAAGCGGAUUCCCUCCCCUGCCUUUCGAGGGUCCAGGCACCGAUUUGAGGGUGCCACACGGCCCCCAGGGCCAGCGUGGCCUCUGCAUUUCUGUGUCUCUCACCCAGUGGAGUGACAUCACCAGACGUCUGCCUGUGGCUGUCGCUCCCUUCCAAGACCACACAGGCAUUGCCCACAUCGUGACCACCAAUUUUGAAAUAGUGAAAAUAGCUUGUGGUUUGGAAGGAACUGUCCUCCGCUGCUGACCACAAGCAGAAUUACAAGUAGAGCGAACUAGAAGGCACAAAUGAUCUCCUUCUGAAAUGGAACUGUAGAAAUCUAAAGCUUGGGCACUUUUGGUUUUGGCGAGGUGAGCUAUUUUUAGUGACGGAGCAAACUCCAGUGUAGCAGAGCGAAGGAUGGGCUUUGGGUCAGACUGACGAGGGUCUGAACCCGGCUCGGCCACUUUCUGGCUGUGUCCUGGCACACGUUAUUUGGUCUUUGAGCCCUAGUUUCCUUCCAGCAUCAUGAGAAGUAACACGUGUCAUAUAGAGUGGUUGUGAAGUAUAGAAAAAACACAAGUCGUCUGUGCAUAUAAGUGACAUCUGUGCCGUUGGCUGUUGGGGUUGUGCCGAGUGUGUUUGAACUGCGAUCCUUACUUAUCCUGUUCUUCGAUUCUUACCUUAACCUUGUGACCAUCUCACAGCAGGUUUUAGCCUUCAUGUGGCUGAGACACAGCCCCGGUGAGAGCGAAUGACUUACUAAGGCCGCACGUGUUCACUGGGAGCCGUGGGACUGGAACCCACAUCGUCUAAGGGCUCGGCCGCUCGGCCGCACAGGACCUAUGUGUGUUGCUGUCUUAGCUCGUUUGCUGACUGCGGUCUCAGAAAUGCAGCUAAUUUAUGCAGAACUCUCAGGUCCUUUUCCGGAAUGUCAAAAAAAAGGGCAGGAGGGGAAAAGGGCUUGAGCAGUGAAAUUAAUUUUCUCUUGUGCUUGUUAGGUCCACUUAAGAAUUCCCUAAUACCUCCAAAUGCCACCGGAAGUCAAGGGCAAGGCGCCUCCUUGACCUGACGGGUGGCAGACUCGUUGUGGGUCGUAGGGAUCUGGCUCCGGGUCAAGGCUUGCCCUCUGCGAAUGUUCCCCUCCUUUGCCCCAGCUGUCAGGCCAGCCCAGGCCGCGUCCUUGGCUGACAGUGGUUUUAUUUCCCCGAGGGCUUCAGUAGAGUUCACGUACAAAUUUACACUACAUGUCUGCCUGCCCUUUUGUUUCUGUAAAGUGGUCGUAUUGUGUUUCCAAUUGAAACGAUGAGAAAACGGACACCGGGUAUCCCAUGCAAACAGAAGUCGUCGUCUUAUAGACCGCCUAGGUUUGUUCAAAAAGGCCUGACCUGGAAGUUAGGGGGUGACAGUCAACCAUGAAGUGACCACGAUUACCUGUGCCCCCGCCCCACCGCCCCACCCCAUUUCUGAAUCAGAGAUCUGAGACGGGACUCUGGCAGGAGUUGGGAACCACUGAGCCGGACACCCAGAAUCCAGGUUUUUACUCUUUUGGGUGCUGCUUUGAGGCCUCAUGGUAGUAAGAGACCAUCAGAUCAGUGACCAGGGUUUGCUUUUCUUCAAACAACAUAUGUUUCAGGCACAGAGAUGAAUAAAGCCUAGACCCUGUCCUCUAAACACAUCCAGCGUAUCGGGGAACACGCCCACCAGACAAUUCCAAUGCGAUGUGCUAAGUGUAAGGCCAGGAAGCUGCCGCAGCCAGGCGCCCAGCAUAGGCGGAGUCAAGGAGGGCUUCCUGGAGGAGGGCUGAGUCCGUGGGAUACACAGGGGUCAGGGAUGACAGGGCCCCCAGGCAGAGGAUGCGUCAUGAGUAGAGGCACGGAGGCACUCAGCUGACCUUUGCUGCCCUGGCCUGUGCCUGGAAGACCAGGCUCUUCCAAUGUCGAAAGGAGAUGGUGUGAGGCUCGGGCUUAGUCGUGAGUUUCACACCAGACAGGAACAGGAACCUCUUGCUGAGCUUCUGGGGGAGUGCUGAGCUGUCACUCAGGUGGUGACUCCUGCCGUCAUGCAGGCCACAGGUCCCCAACCCCCGUCUGUGGCCUGUGAGGACCCGGGCCACACAGCAGGACGUGAGCGGCGGGCGAGUGAGCAAAGCUCCGUCUGCGUUUGCAGCCGCUGCCCAGCGCCAGCAUCGCCGCCUCAGCUCCGCCUCGGACCAUCAGGCGUUAGAUGCUCAUAGGAGCCCCGGUCCCUGCUGCCACAAAGCGUGGGACCGCUGAUAUAGGCCAAGGAGGAGUCCGAGGGAGGUCAGGGAGGCGUCGGGGUACCCUGAGCGGUCUCAUCCGGUGAGCCGGGACUGCGGGACUCGUGCAGGCUCGCUCUCUCCUGCUCCUCCUGCUUCGGGACCUGUUGCCAGCACAGUGGGCCACACUGUCAUGACGGCAGAGUUACUGCUGCUCCUGGUGCAGCUCGAAUUUCCUCAGGCUUUCAUGCUGCGGCCGUGGCCCUUAUUCGUGGGCGGGCGGAAGCUGGCGGGAGGGGUGGGCGAGGCCGCCGCGCUGACCGUGUGCG
Long non-coding RNA from Pteropus alecto (black flying fox), 4061 nucleotides. RefSeq lists it as uncharacterized. The record is from RefSeq and is a predicted model, not a curated record. NCBI's taxonomy places the organism in Eukaryota, Metazoa, Chordata, Mammalia, Chiroptera, Pteropodidae. The transcript has 2 exons.